GGGGAUAUAGCUCAGUGGUAGAGUGCAUGAUUAGCAUAUGUGAGGCCUAGAUUUAAUUCCCAGUACCACCC
RNAcentral lists this transfer RNA (71 nucleotides) under Ictidomys tridecemlineatus (thirteen-lined ground squirrel). Its description in RNAcentral is "Spermophilus tridecemlineatus (thirteen-lined ground squirrel) tRNA". It matches the Rfam family "tRNA". From Rfam's summary of the family: Transfer RNA (tRNA) molecules are approximately 80 nucleotides in length. Lineage: Eukaryota; Metazoa; Chordata; Mammalia; Rodentia; Sciuridae. The record is from Rfam by way of RNAcentral.